UUGUGGCAAGUGGCUAGAGCGUCCGCCUUGGAUGCGAAAGGUUGCGAGUUCGAACCUCGGCCGGGUCAU
This is a non-coding RNA of Potamilus streckersoni, 69 nucleotides long. NCBI's taxonomy places the organism in Eukaryota, Metazoa, Mollusca, Bivalvia, Unionida, Unionidae. The record is from the annotation of a GenBank genome assembly.